This 518-nucleotide ribosomal RNA is filed under the name uncultured bacterium. RNAcentral describes it as "bacterial SSU rRNA". It matches the Rfam family "Bacterial small subunit ribosomal RNA", at positions 553 to 1070 of the family's 1533-position model. The record is from RNAcentral.
AUUGGGCGUAAAGCGAGCGCAGGCGGUUAGAUAAGUCUGAAGUUAAAGGCUGUGGCUUAACCAUAGUAUGCUUUGGAAACUGUUUAACUUGAGUGCAGAAGGGGAGAGUGGAAUUCCAUGUGUAGCGGUGAAAUGCGUAGAUAUAUGGAGGAACACCGGUGGCGAAAGCGGCUCUCUGGGCUGUAACUGACGCUGAGAAGCGAAAGCAUGGGGAGCGAACAGGAUUAGAUACCCUGGUAGUCCAUGCCGUAAACGUUGGGCACUAGGUGUGGGGGACAUUCCACGUUUUCCGCGCCGUAGCUAACGCAUUAAGUGCCCCGCCUGGGGAGUACGGCCGCAAGGCUAAAACUCAAAGGAAUUGACGGGGGCCCGCACAAGCGGCGGAGCAUGCGGAUUAAUUCGAUGCAACGCGAAGAACCUUACCAAGGCUUGACAUGCAUUAGAUCGCGUCAGAGAUGGCGUUUCCCUUCGGGGCUGGUGUACAGGUGGUGCAUGGUUGUCGUCAGCUCGUGUCGUGA